This 7101-nucleotide long non-coding RNA is filed under the name Homo sapiens (human). RNAcentral describes it as "HSALNT0142387". The record is from RNAcentral. Lineage: Eukaryota; Metazoa; Chordata; Mammalia; Primates; Hominidae.
CAGGGUUUCACUAUGUUGGCUAGGCUGGUCUCAAAUUCCUGACCGUAAUUGAUCCGCCUGCCUUGCCUCCCAAAGUGCUGGGAGGUCUAUAGGUUUAAUGGAAUCUCAGUCAAAAGCCCAGCAAGCUAUGGAAAUGCAAAGAACCAGGUAUAAGUUGAGUAUCCCUUAUUCAAAAUGCUUGGGUCCAGAAAUGUUUUGAAGUUUGGAUAUUUUCAGAUUUGGGGAUAUUUGCAUAACAGAAUGGAAUAUCGUGGGGAUGGCACUCAAGUCUUAAACACAAAAUUCAUUUAUGUUUCACAUAUACCUUAUACACAUAGCAUGAAGGUAAUUUUAUACAAUAUUUUAAAUAAUUUUGUGCAUGAAGCAAAGUUUGUGUGCAUUGAACCAUUAGAAAGCAAAGGUGUCACUAUUCAGUCACUGAUGUGGCAUCAUGUUGUUGCUCAAAAAGUUUCAGAUUUUUGGAGCAUUUUGAAUAUUGAAUCUUCAUUUUAGGAAUGCUCAACCUGUAAACAACUUGAAAAAGAAUACCAAAGUUGAAGGAGUUAUACUAUUUGGUUUCAAGGUUUAUUAUAAGGUCAUAAUAGUCAAUGCAAUUUCAUUUUUGGCAUCAGGAGAGAUAAAUAAAUCAAGACGAUAGAAUAGUGAGUCCAGAAAUAGACCAAGACAUAAAUGGUCAACUGAUUUUUGACAAAGGUACCAGAACAGUUCAGUGGAGGAAAGAAUACUCUUUUUAAUAAAUGGUGCUGGAGUAAUUGGCUAUACAUGUAGAAAAAAUGAAUCUUAACUAUUACCUCACACCAUACACAAAAACUAACUUAAAAUGGAUCGUAGAUCUAAGUAUACAAGCUAAAACUGUACAACUCAAGAAGAAAACAAAGGAGAAAGUUAUAAAGACCUUGGGUUUGGCAAAGAUUCCUUGAAUACAAAAAGCAUAAACUCUAAAAGAAAAAAUAUCAACAAUUGGACUUCACUGAUAUCAUAAACUUUUGCUCUUCAAGAGUCACUGUUAAGAAAAUAAAAUACUGCAUGUUCUCACUUCUAAGUGGGAGCUAGCAUGGGCAAGCAUGGACAUGAAAAUGGGAACAAUAGACACUGAGGACUAACAGGGAGGGGAGAAAGGGAAGGAGCCAAGUGCUGAAAAACUACCUGUUGGGCACUGUGCUCACUGUCUGAGUGAGGGCAUCAUUCAUACCCCACACCUCAGCAUCAUACAAUAUAUCCAUGUAACCAACCUCAACAUGGACCUCUUGAAUCUAAAGUAAAAGUUGAUAUUACAAAAAAAAAAAAAAAAAAAGAAUCACUGUUAAAAUGAAAAGGCAAACCAUAGACUAGGAGAAUAUACUUUAUAUAUACAGCAAUGGACUUGUAUCUAGAAUGUAUAAAGAACACAUACAACUCAAUAAUAAGACAAACAACCCAAUGAAAAUAAAAAUGGACAAAAGUUCAAAUAGACACCAAAUUCAAAUCCACCAGACAAAGGAUGUGGAGAGCAAAUUAUGGCCAUAAAAAAAUUGUUCCACAUUAGUCAUUAGGGAAGGGCAAAUUAAAACUACAAUGAAAUGCCACAACAUGUAACUUGUAAAAUGGCUAAAAUUCAAAGUUUUACCAUAUUUAAUAGUUGGUAAAGAUAUGCAGCAAGUGGAAAUUCUAUUCACCAUUGAUGGGAAUGCAAAAUGGUACAACCACAUUUUAGAAAACAGUUUAGCAAUUUCUUAAAAAGGUAGAUAGAUACUUGACAUAUGUCUAAGUCUUUCCACUCCUAAGUAUUUACCCAAUGGAAAAAUAAAUCAUAUGUCCUAUGUAGACUUUUACAUAGAAGGUUAAUUAACAAUGGCCCUAAAUUGGAACAAAUCCCAUAAUGUUCACCAACAGGUGAACUUAUUCCUCCUAGCUGAAAUUUCUUAUUCCUUGACCAAUAUCUCCCCAGUCCCCCUCUCUCUCCAGCCCCUGGUAACCAACAUUCUACUCUCUGCUUCUCUAGGUUCAGUUUGUUUGUUUAGAUUCCACAUGUAAGUGAGAUCAGCCACAUUUAUUUAAAGUCACUUCUCCCUGAGGGUGUGGAAGUCUUUUCAGCCAUGUGCUUCCACUGCAGAGUCAGACUUCAGAAUCUCAACAUCCGAUUUUAUCCAUCAAAUUUCAAGUUCAAUAAUUUAAUGUAGGGUCUGACUCCAUUUUUGAUGUUUGACUGUUAACAGCUUUCAGGCCCCAUGACUUCCCUUUCCCUUUUAGCCCCACAUCUGGAAAAGUUGAUGAGAAAGCCUAUACAUGAUCUUCAUUGGCUCUAACAGGCAAGAACACAAGCCCCAGGCCCCACACAGAAACCGUCCUGUGAGCCCCAGGUCCUAAUCAACAUAAAACCCUAUGCCAGUCUUCUUUCCUUGCUCUCUCAGGCUGUUUUUGGACCAACUUGGGAGCCAGCUCAUUAUCCUCUUGGUGCAUGUGUAGUGGCAUCAGUUUCAGCAUGUCAAACAAAUUUGGGAACAAGGGAGGGGAGAGUCCAUCCCAUCUAUACAGAAUGACUAUGGCAAUUGGGUUCAAGAAGGUAUCUGGGCAUGGUUCCUUUUACUCACUACUUUCAGGAAAAUAAAUUGCUAGCAUAGGAUGGGGGAAGCAACGAAUGUGAAUACGGUAGGCAGUUUCUAAGGUGGUCCUCAAGAUUUUCCCCUCCUGACAUUCAUACAUUUCCCUCCACUUGAGCGUGGGCUGGAACUGGGACUUGCUUCGAAUGAGUAGAACAUGGCAAAAGUGAUGAGAUGUCACUUCCGAGAUUUGGUUACAAAAAUACCCUGACUUUCAUUUUGCUCGCCUUCACUUGCUCACUCUAAGGGAAGCCAGCUACUAAGCUGUGAGCUUCCAUAUGGGCGAGGCCUAACUUGGAACUUGAUUUUCCCCAUUGGAGUCUUCAGAGGAGAUGGUAGCUCAAGCCAAAACCCUGAUUGCAGUAUUAUGAGUACCCAUGAGCCAGAGGCACCAACAAGCCUGCUCUCAAACUCCUGACACAGCACAGAUAAUAAAUGUUUGUUGUCUUAAACCACUGAGUCUAGGGAUAAUUUUGUUACUCAGCAACAGAUAACCAAUACGAAGAGUGAGUUCCUGAGUAGGAGGAUUUCUGGAGAAUGAAAAUAAUUAUCAUUAAAGGAAAAAAGAGGGAAGAUUCAUGCCUUGGAGGAUAUUGGGAAGAGAAAGAAAGGGGCAUAAGCAAGUUUCAAGGAAUAAGCUGGAAGCAGGUCUCACAUUGACUAGACGAAUGUAGCCAGAGAUCUAAGUGGAGCAAAUGACUGCCACCAGUAACCAGGAAUCACUGGUGUCCCCUCAGACUGAGAAAUCCAGUGACCACAUCACUUUGGGAGGAAAGCUAUCUGUUUUGUCCACUGGCAUGAAUCUUUGGUUGAUCCUGUGGGAACACUAAGACAUGAAGCAAUUGCUCUGUUUCUACACGAGUGGAGUCCAUGAAAACAGCUUAAGCCAGUGCCCCUUCAUCAUCCACAAUCUCCUUUUACUAACAGUUUCACAGAGAGCAAUUUCACAUUAAUUGCAGCCUGGUCUUGAUUUCCUGUCACUGUUGCUUAUUGCCUAUAAGAAAUUUAUGUCUUAAAUGAGGUGAAGUUCAGUCCCCUGUUCCCUGUUUCAGUCCUAGCAAACCAUCAUUUUAUCUGACAACAUUUUUUUAAAGCAGAAUUUUCCUCACCAUCAUCUGUAGAGGGCUUCACCUUGCUAUUACCCUGGGAAGAGCAAGGGCAUGCAAUAGGAGCUCUCUCAAUUUCUUUCCUUCAGAUCUCUCUUCAUAAUUGUCAAUCAUUGCCUCCCUUUGCCCUGUUUCAGAAAGCAGCUCUCCUUUGUUGCAAGGUUGGCCCUUCCACUACAGCUCUUAGGCCAAUUCCUCGCUCUCUUUGCUAAGACAUCAGUCACCUCCACUCAGAUCUUCCUCUCCACUUGCUCCUUCCUCUUAGGCUGUAAACCUUUUCACCCAUAGAUAUAUUCCCCCACCACAGACGCCUCUUCCAGCUACAUCCUAUAUCUUUCUUCCCUUCAUCUGAAUUACUUCUUGACUUCUCAUCCGCUCUUUGACCCACAGCAAUUUGUUUUAUAUACCUACCAUUCUACUAAAUUGGAUUCAAAAUCACCACUGCAAGCAGGAUGGAUCCUGAGUAGCUGUCAGUUCUAAUAAGCUUACAGAUAUGCCCAUGAUUCCAUCAUUCUCCCAUUGAUCUUUUCACUGCCUGCUAUGUUCCAGGUGCCAUCCUACAUUUAUCAUAAAUGUGCCAUAGUUCAUAGAUGUGCCAGGAAGUAUAACUAUUCCAAGAAAACAUCAGUAAACAAGAAAGACAGAUCUCUGCCCUCUUGUAGCUUACAAUCUAGUGUGAGGAGACACACAAAAAGAAACAAACAAACAUCAUCAAGCAAGUAUAAAGUAUGUCAGCUAUGAGAAGUGUCACAGUAAAAAUGAAGUAGGAAAGAGAAUUAGACAAUGCAGUGGAAGUGGAAAAAUCAUGAGGCAGAAUUUUAGAGAGAGCCUCUAGACACAAUGGUUAGGAGAGAACAUUGCGGAGCCAGAGGAACAAGGUUUUUUAUCCCAUGUCUCUCAUUUUUUAACCUUGUGCCCUUAGGCAAGUCAUUUAACCUCUUGAUGCCUUCAUUUCCUCAUCUGUGGAAUGAGAAGGAGGUAAGAACCUAUCACAUAGAGCUGUUGUAAGGAUUAAAUGAAUUUAAUGCUGGUAAAGUAUUUAGAACCACGUCUGAGUUCACUGCAAGAGCCCAGUGAGUGUUAGCUAUGACUCUGCAAAAGCCUGUUUUGAAUCAAAAACUCCUGUGUGACCCUGGACAAAUGAUUUCACCUCCUAGAGCCUGAGUUUUCUCAUGGGCAAGAUGAACACAAUUAGUUUUAGUUCACAAGUUUCAUGCAAAGGUGAAAUGAGAUAAUAUCUAUAAAGCACUUUGCAAAUCAUUCACCCCAUAAUAAGCACCCAGGAAAAUGGAAGCUUUAAAAGAAAACAAGACAAAGGGACACACCUCCCUCUGUUCUUUCCAUUUGUCUGCAACUUGGUGAAUAUUUGUAUGAAGCCUCCAAUUCACCUUCAGACUCAGGAGACAGCACCGUCCAUAUAUCAAUGUGUACAGAAAUGAAAUAUGGGAACCACACCUGCAUCCAUAAGAAUGAAUUCCUCCCAAACCGAUAAUUUGGUAAAUUUCUCAUUUUCUUGUAAUGCCUAUAGUGCCAAAAGACCACAUUUAAAAAUGAUUGAUAUAGGGUUUAUCUUUUUCCUUUUUUGAGAUUUGUACUCAAGCCCUGCUAACCAAGGAUUUCGAAACAAUACUGACAAUUGUGGAUAUGGUUUAGUUGUGUCCCUACCCAAAUCUCAUCUUGAAUUGCUAUCCUCAUAAUCCCCACGUGUCUAGGGAGAGACCUAGUGGGAGGUGAUUGGAUCAUGGGGGCAGUUUCCCCCAUGCUGUUCUCAUGAUAGUGAAUGAGUUCUCACGAGAUCUGUUGGUUUUAUAAGGGGCUCUUCCCCCUUCACUCCUCACUCUUCUCUAUCCUGCUGCCAUGUAAGAAGAUCCUUGCUUUCCUUUUGCCUUUUGCCAUGAUUGUAAGUUUCCUGAGGCCUCCUCAGCCAUGUGGAACUGUGAGUCAAUUAAACCUCUUUCUUUGAUAAAUUACCCAGUCUCGGGUGUUUCUUUAUAGCAGUGUGAAAACAGACUAAUACAACAGUGCUUGACUCAAAAUAUAAGCUCUUGAAAAGCUUUUGUGUAAAUUAGGUUUUGUACAUCAUCUUAAAGGUACAAUGGUGGUUUCAAUAUAAAGAAUAUUGAGAGUGAAUCCUUAAGAAAAGCAAUGCAUUGUUGCUAGUUUGACCCAGUUUAUAUAUUUUAUCUGCUUUCAAUGUGUAGAUGUUCAAAUAUCCAGCUGAGAUAAAGUGGUUAUCUCUCUUGGGUGAAAGCCAGAUUUCUUUCUCCAGGAGAGUAUAACAUGAGAGACUGGUAAGAGUGGUGUUUCUCAGAGAGUGGGAAAAUGCAUUUGUUUUUAGCAGCAGAUGCAAAGCUUAGGAAAUUCAAUUUCCACAACCUCAUGAAAGCUGUUUGUGGAAGACUUUUUUGGCUGAAAUAGUUCCUAAGAAAUAUGAGUCUGCACUGAGCUAAUAAACAGUGACCUGGGAUGGCACAAAGUUCUCAGACUUCAGCACCCUGGCAAUAACCCACAUCAAUAACUUAGUCCUAAAUUCCCCCUUACUGUCUCAGCUUGCAAUUGGAAAUGACAAUGUGACUGGUAAUAUUUGACACUUGUAUCAAAGGAUCUAUGAUCUUUUUGCAUCAGAGAAAGCUUCAUGAAAAAUGGCAACUCACUGGUCAGAACUGUCAGCAACAUGUACAGAAACCUGAUUGAGAGGCAAAAUGAAAGAUGAGACCUGAUAUUUACCAAGUUCCAACAAGACAUGAAGAUAAUGAUGUGGAAAUGGAUGAACUGGGCACACAGGACCACCCAGACUCAUCCAUCCUUAAAAUGUGGGAUUUCAACUUCCAAGACAAAUCAACCAAGUUUCGUGGUUGAUUUUAAAAACAAUAUUUCCUGAAUUGCUACUUCACCAAUGUGGUGUAUUAAAUCAUAAUCACUGUCAAUGGCCAGAACCCCAAGCCUGGAAUAGCAAUGCCAGCUCCAGCCUGGGAGCACUGCCUUUGAAGGAUUUUAGGUUCUCAGGAGAUUUGGUUUCCCUGCAGUGUGGUGUUGGCUUCCAAACCAGGAGGCAGCUGGCAGUGCCACUGCUGCCCAGGAACUAGAAAUCCACCAUGAAAUCUGAGGGACUCUGCGGCAGAGGGUUUUAUUCUUUAUGGUGUCUUAAUAUUGAUCAAAAAACCCACUUCUUUUUGACAUGAUAAAGAAAACCCAUCCUUCCAGCAAAAGGGCUGAGUAGUAGAAGAAACAGAUCAAAAGACACGGUAAAAGGCAACUUCAGUUCUGUCCUCCCAGAGAGCCAGGGACCUGCUCUGAGCACCAAAAUCCUUCAUUUAUUCAUUCAAUAAAAUUUGUUGAGCAAGCUGGGUGCAGUGGCAUGCACCUGUAGUCCCAGUUAUUUGGUAUGCUAAGGCGAGAAGAUGGUUUAAGCCCAG